This 253-nucleotide ribosomal RNA is filed under the name uncultured bacterium. RNAcentral describes it as "partial 16S ribosomal RNA". It matches the Rfam family "Bacterial small subunit ribosomal RNA", at positions 524 to 776 of the family's 1533-position model. The record is from RNAcentral.
UACGGAGGGGGCUAGCGUUGUUCGGAAUUACUGGGCGUAAAGCGCACGUAGGCGGCUUUGCAAGUUAGAGGUGAAAGCCCGGGGCUCAACUCCGGAAUUGCCUUUAAAACUGCAUCGCUAGAAUUGUGGAGAGGUAAGUGGAAUUCCGAGUGUAGAGGUGAAAUUCGUAGAUAUUCGGAAGAACACCAGUGGCGAAGGCGACUUACUUGACACAUAUUGACGCUGAGGUGCGAAAGCGUGGGGAGCAAACAGG